Molecule: ribosomal RNA, 285 nt
Filed under: uncultured bacterium
Lineage: Bacteria
Description: partial 16S ribosomal RNA
Rfam family: Bacterial small subunit ribosomal RNA
Source: RNAcentral
UCCUACGGGGGGCAGCAGUGAGGAAUAUUGGUCAAUGGUCGGGAGACUGAACCAGCCAAGCCGCGUGAGGGAGGAAGGUACAGAGUAUCGUAAACCUCUUUUGUCAGGGAACAAAGACUGGGACGCGUCCCCGGAUGAGUGUACCUGAAGAAAAAGCAUCGGCUAACUCCGUGCCAGCAGCCGCGGUAAUACGGAGGAUGCGAGCGUUAUCCGGAUUUAUUGGGGUUAAAGGGGGCGCAGGCGGUCUGUUAAGUCAGCGGUCAAGGCCCGGGGCGCAACCCCGGC